GCGCUCAUAGCUCAACUGGAUAGAGCAUCGGUCUUCGAAACCGAGGGUUGGGGGUUCGACUCCCUCUGGGCGUA
This 74-nucleotide transfer RNA is filed under the name Phycisphaerae bacterium. RNAcentral's name for it is "tRNA-Arg". It matches the Rfam family "tRNA". Rfam says of the family: Transfer RNA (tRNA) molecules are approximately 80 nucleotides in length. Lineage: Bacteria; Pseudomonadati; Planctomycetota; Phycisphaerae. The record is from RNAcentral.